UCGGAGGGGUUUUUGGGCGCCUCAUGAGGGCAGCCCUCAGCCCCCCUCCGGUAAACCGCCGCCCGGCCGUCCUGCUGCCCUCAGGAAGCCAAGAAAGGUCCCAUCGCUCAGCGUGACCAGGUAACACCACGACCAGUCAUGAAGGCAGGAUCAUGCAUGUGAGGAAACAUCCAAAAGCUCAGGAGGUGACUGUGAGCGCAGCAAGCCAUCGCUGAUGUCCACAAUACGGCAACAACAACAACGACUGCUCCACUGCAGGCUGCACCAUGGAGCACAACCUGCUAAGCUACUUUAGAACUCGGCUAAAAGACCGGACACACCGCUCAGUGGCCUCGUUCACCGGGACGACGUAUCCACAAAAACUGCUCGAGGGACAAAGGAAAGUACCUAAAGCAGCCUCCAACCUCCCCACAUCCCGAUCGGAUUUAGCAUCUGCAGCUCCAACCUGCAACCCACAGAACCCAAAGGAUCGUCUGCUAACGUCACGGUGUGAGACAACUAGGACACCCCCAGAGAUCCCACGUCCAUGUGUUAAAGUAGCACGAGAAAUAAAGUUUAACUGAAUUUCCAGAAAUAUGCUUCAAAGUUACAGAUUCUGAGACAGUCUGAGUCAUUAAUUCUUCUGCUUUUCUGAAACAAACAAAAACCUGCAGACAGAAACUAGGCAACUUCUGAGCUGAGUUUCCUCAGGUGUUAGUCUGCAGUCUGUUUGUGUGUCCAGGAUUACGACAGACUAAGAAUAGUGAGCCCGGAAAAGCGAGACUCCCCGCGGUUCAGAUCAGAGGUGCUGAACCAAAAAAAGAAAAAGCCCAGUAACAACACUGAGCUCAAGUCCAAACACUCGUCAGCUCUGCACCUGAUUCAACACAAAUCAGAGCGCAGUACAGACGCCAGCACUGACGCCGGAGCUGCUGAGGGUCCGGUCCACGGGAUUAUGGGAUUCUUUGAUCAUUUUUAUGAACAAUGUGGAAGUUUUGCACGACGCAGCACACUCUUCAGAUUAGCGGCGUACUAAUUUCUGGAGUAAGUAACAUCAGUGUUAUACUGUGUACUGUACUUAGCCACCCAAACAGACAGAGCUACAAAAAAAACCACAAUAACAACAUGAACAGUAUAUCACAAAUAACAUAUAUCACUGUUGUGUUUGGGCUGGAAGAGCUGGUUUAAAUGUGAGAGUUAGAAAAGUUAAAAUAACAGGAAGUGUGCUCCACAGUGUCUGAAGUGAAAAGUUCUAAUUUCAUGUGUUACUUGAAAACUUUCCAUCUGUAAAGAUCUGCGUCGGUGUGACCUGAGAUUAACUAGAAAAGGUUCAAACCCCUUUGGAAAGAGUAAUUAGUGAGAAUUUUGGACUAAUUUACUUUAAUUUAUUUAAUCUCACUGUCAGCUGUUGGAUCUUUAACAAACCAAGAAACCUUGUAACUAAGGAUUCAGUUAGUUAUUCCAUGCUGUUGUAUAGGUGGUGACUAUAAACGAUAACUAUAGGUUAUCAAUGAAAUAUAUAAACAAUGUAAUGUCCCUGUCUGAAAGCACUAAAGCUGCAUUCUUUCAAAUGGCCAGCAAAUUGAUUCAGAGGAUUGUGCUUUCUAUGAACAACAAAGACUGCUUAGACCUCCACAGCAGUGCUCCUCUGACCUUUGACCCCACAGGAUCAAAGAGUCACAGCUUAAGAGCAGGAAGCAGUGUUGACAGGAAAUGCUUCAGGUCCAAACAAAACCAAGUGUCUAGUACCAACAAGGCUGCUUAAAUCCUUUUGUUUUUCAGGGCAGUGUUAGCAAGGCAUUUUGCCCGACGUCA
This is a long non-coding RNA of Archocentrus centrarchus (flier cichlid), 1794 nucleotides long. RefSeq lists it as uncharacterized. The transcript is spliced from 3 exons. NCBI's taxonomy places the organism in Eukaryota, Metazoa, Chordata, Actinopteri, Cichliformes, Cichlidae. The record is from RefSeq and is a predicted model, not a curated record.